CUUUAGUGCAGUAGGCAGCGCAUCAGUCUCAAAAGCUGAAGGUCCAGAGUUCAAUCCUCGGAAG
RNAcentral lists this transfer RNA (64 nucleotides) under Monodelphis domestica (gray short-tailed opossum). It matches the Rfam family "tRNA", at positions 5 to 66 of the family's 71-position model. From Rfam's summary of the family: Transfer RNA (tRNA) molecules are approximately 80 nucleotides in length. Their secondary structure includes four short double-helical elements and three loops (D, anti-codon, and T loops). Lineage: Eukaryota; Metazoa; Chordata; Mammalia; Didelphimorphia; Didelphidae. The record is from Rfam by way of RNAcentral.